GCAGCUGCUACGCGGUCCUCUGGGUGAUCAGUACCAGACGGUGAAGGCCCUAGCUGAGCGCAAGGCCCAAGGUGUGCUGGCUGCACAGGCAAGGGCAGAACAACUGCGGGAUGAGGCUCGGGACCUGUUGCAAGCCGCUCAGGACAAGCUGCAGCGGCUACAGGAAUUGGAAGGCACCUAUGAGGAAAAUGAGCGGGCACUGGAGAGUAAGGCAGCCCAGUUGGACGGGUUGGAGGCCAGGAUGCGCAGCGUGCUUCAAGCCAUCAACUUGCAGGUGCAGAUCUACAACACCUGCCAGUGACCCCUGCCCAAGGCCUACCCCAGUUCCUAGCACUGCCCCACAUGCAUGUCUGCCUAUGCACUGAAGAGCUCUUGGCCCGGCAGGGCCCCCAAUAAACCAGUGUGAACCCCC
RNAcentral lists this long non-coding RNA (412 nucleotides) under Homo sapiens (human). Its description in RNAcentral is "non-protein coding lnc-LAMB2-1:2". The record is from RNAcentral. Lineage: Eukaryota; Metazoa; Chordata; Mammalia; Primates; Hominidae.